RNAcentral lists this transfer RNA (67 nucleotides) under Chondrodactylus angulifer. RNAcentral describes it as "tRNA-Trp". Lineage: Eukaryota; Metazoa; Chordata; Lepidosauria; Squamata; Gekkonidae. The record is from RNAcentral.
AAAAACUUAGGUUACUACAAACCAGGGGCCUUCAAAGCCCCAAACAGGGACUUCCCCCUAGUUUUUG